UGUAUAUUCCCUCUGACAGGAGGCCAAGGUCAUCUACUUCUCAUCCCGCAAAUAGCACAUUAACAUCUUCACAUUUCUCCCUACUUGUUCCUGGGUUAUCAAAUGUACCAUUCUUUAGUGCUCAGUCACAAAGUUUACUGUGAGUAAGCUGAGAGUUCUCAGUUUACCUGUGUGUGUGAGUUGCUGUUGAAAAAGAUUUCAGAUUAAGAUUUCCUUUGUGCCUGUUUUUAGAAGUAUUUAUUUGGUCUGAGUCAUAUUCCAUUUUUGGUGUGUUUAUAGGCAAACUUCUUACACUUGUCUCU
RNAcentral lists this long non-coding RNA (302 nucleotides) under Bos taurus (domestic cattle). Its description in RNAcentral is "long non-coding RNA NONBTAT001805". Lineage: Eukaryota; Metazoa; Chordata; Mammalia; Artiodactyla; Bovidae. The record is from RNAcentral.